CAUUUUUUCUUUUAUUUUUCUCUACAUUUCUUCUUCUUUUUUUUGAUUUUAUUUUUCACCCCUUUUUUUAUUAUUACAUCUGUAAAACCCCAAUUUGACUGUUUCCAGGUUCUCAAGAUGCGGCUGAAUGAUCUUCUUUUCAUGCUCCAGAAGACGGGUAAUCUCGUCAGGAAUCCCUUCAGCAUCAUCUUCCUCUGCCUCGAAUACAGGGAAUUCAAAAUUGGGAGAUGGCGUUGGAUCAUUAUGUUCAAUGGGUUUAGAAAUCAACCUGCAUAAUGAUUUUGGAUAUGAAAAGUUUUUAGAAAUCAAACAAGGCAAAUCAUUAUGCAGAUGAAAAGAUUAGAUGGCGUUGGAUCAUUAUGUUCAAUGGGUUUAGAAAUCAACCUGCAUAAUGAUUUUGGAUAUGAAAAGUUUUUAGAAAUCAAACAAGGCAAAUCAUUAUGCAGAUG
This 449-nucleotide long non-coding RNA is filed under the name Lathyrus oleraceus (garden pea). Its description in RNAcentral is "Pisum sativum (pea) long non-coding RNA (PSAT_LNC037198)". The record is from RNAcentral. Lineage: Eukaryota; Viridiplantae; Streptophyta; Magnoliopsida; Fabales; Fabaceae.